Molecule: ribosomal RNA, 1208 nt
Filed under: Dendrobathypathes sp. n. NB-2020
Lineage: Eukaryota; Metazoa; Cnidaria; Anthozoa; Antipatharia; Schizopathidae
Description: partial 28S ribosomal RNA
Rfam family: Eukaryotic large subunit ribosomal RNA
Source: RNAcentral
CUCGGCCUCAGAUCAGACAAGGCUACCCGCUGAAUUUAAGCAUAUUAAUAAGCGGAGGAAAAGAAACUAACAAGGAUUCCCCCAGUAACGGCGAGUGAAGCGGGAACAGCUCAAAUUUAAAAUCUCCGUUGCUUGCAACGGCGAAUUGUAGUUUCGAGAAGCGCUUUCUAGGUGGACCGCCUGCGCCUAAGUUGCUUGGAACAGCACGUCAUAGAGGGUGACAACCCCGUCUGUGGCGUAGGCGGCCGCUCACGAUGUGCUUUCGAAGAGUCGGGUUGUUUGGGAAUGCAGCCCAAAAUGGGUGGUAAACUCCAUCUAAAGCUAAAUAUUGGCACGAGACCGAUAGCGAACAAGUACCGUGAGGGAAAGAUGAAAAGGACUUUGGAAAGAGAGUUAAAAAGUACGUGAAACCGUUAAAAGGGAAACGAAUGGAGCUAGCAAUGCACCCAGUGAGAUUCAGCCGGUUGGUGGCUUGGGCGCUCCGUUUGCAGAUCUGAAUUGACUGCGGCGGUGUGGUUCGAGCUCCCUGCCGUCGCACUUCUCGCGGGCGCGCGUCAACAUGGGUUGGGACCGGGUCUAAAAGGCACCGGCAAGGUAGGUCCGUACCUCCGGGUACGUACUGUUCUAGGCCGGCGUUCUCGCGGCCCGGGCCCGACCGAGGCGAUGCAGCACAUGCCUCUUGUGGCUGGGGUCCCGUUCUUCCGGUUGGUUGUCGACUGUGGUGGACUGCGUGCAGUGCACCGCGACUGCUGCCGGUCGCUGGGGCGGUGACUUCGCAUGAUGUGCUUAGGAUGUUGGCGGUCAUAUGGCUUCAUCCGACCCGUCUUGAAACACGGACCAAGGAGUCUACCAUAUGCGCGAGUCUUUGGGUGAUUGAAACCCGCGGGCACAAUGAAAGUGAAGGCGGCUCCGGCCUGCCGAGGUGAGAACCUCCCCUCUCGGGGUGGCGCAUCAUCGACCGACCUAUUCUACUCUUAGGAAGGUUUGAGUAAGAGCGCAUUUGUUGGGACCCGAAAGAUGGUGAACUAUGCCUGAAUAGGGUGAAGCCAGAGGAAACUCUGGUGGAGGCUCGUAGCGAUUCUGACGUGCAAAUCGAUCGUCAAAUUUGGGUAUAGGGGCGAAAGACUAAUCGAACUGUCUAGUAGCUGGUUCCCUCCGAAGUUUCCCUCAGGAUAGCAGGAGCUCUUUGCAGUUUUAUCAGGUAAAGC